RNAcentral lists this unclassified non-coding RNA (375 nucleotides) under Hevea brasiliensis (rubber tree). Lineage: Eukaryota; Viridiplantae; Streptophyta; Magnoliopsida; Malpighiales; Euphorbiaceae. The record is from RNAcentral.
AAAAAACAUCAUCCCCUUCAGCCUGCCCAACUUUUCUCUCUCUUCUCUCAAACACUUCUCUGCUCAUUUGAUUAUCAAAAUUUUCCGCAUUCAACUUUGCUUUUUCCACAAACAAAAACCUUAUCUAAUUCAUCUGAAUUUUAGUUUUACAUUUAUAUGGUUUGCUUGACAAGUCAAAAUUUGUGCAAACCCAGACGAUUUGAAUCACAUUUCGUACCAUAUAUCAACGCAAAGACAAAAUUAUAUUUGAGGUUAAGAAAUUCGGAGGAAUAUUUAUCGGAGUUGAAAUUGAAAUCGCUAGCGUUUGGGACUAGAAGAAGAAGAAGAGGAAUUACAGCAGCAAUGGCGGUCGAAUUAGUGAAAUCGAAUGAAGCA